This 681-nucleotide ribosomal RNA is filed under the name uncultured bacterium. RNAcentral describes it as "bacterial SSU rRNA". It matches the Rfam family "Bacterial small subunit ribosomal RNA", at positions 8 to 700 of the family's 1533-position model. The record is from RNAcentral.
AGAGUUUGAUCAUGGCUCAGGACGAACGCUGGCGGCGUGCCUAAGACAUGCAAGUCGAGCGGUUCCAAGGGGCUUGCUCCUUGGAAUAGCGGCGGACGGGUGAGUAACGCGUAGGUAAUCUGCCUCCGGGACCGGGAUAACAGAGCGAAAGCGCUGCUAAUACCGGAUAGGCGCCACGGUGCCGCAUGGCACCAGGCGGAAAGGGGAAACCCGCCGGGAGAUGAACCUGCGUCCCAUUAGCCAGUUGGCGGGGUAACGGCCCACCAAAGCGACGAUGAGUAGCCGGCCUGAGAGGGUGUACGGCCACACUGGGACUGAGACACGGCCCAGACUCCUACGGGAGGCAGCAGUCGGGAAUUUUCCACAAUGGGCGAAAGCCUGAUGGAGCAACGCCGCGUGGGUGAGGAAGGUCUUCGGAUUGUAAAACCCUGUCCUGAGGGAAGAAAAAAAUGACGGUACCUCAGGAGGAAGCCCCGGCUAACUACGUGCCAGCAGCCGCGGUAAUACGUAGGGGGCAAGCGUUGUCCGGAAUUACUGGGCGUAAAGCGUGCGCAGGCGGUUUGUUAAGACAGGUGUGAAAUCCCCGGGCUUAACCUGGGAACUGCGCUUGUUACUGGCAGACUUGAGUGUGGCAGAGGGGGGUGGAAUUCCAGGUGUAGCAGUGAAAUGCGUAGAUAUCUG